UUCCAUAUCGCUCUGAUGAACCUCUUUCCGCCUGUUCUCUAGAGUUCAAGAACAGAUUCUUGCCUAUCCCUUAUUUGUCCAUUAAGUCCGUUUUCCGCUAAAGGCAGCAUGAAAAGCACCUAAAUUGUAAUACGUAAGAGGAAGGACGACUAAGCAACUAUGCUACUAUUGGCACCCCAAACUAAAAACUACAACUGGAAAUCCAACUUUAGGUGGAGGAAGGACGACUAAGCAACUAUGCUACUAUUGGCACCCCAAACUAAAAAUUACAACUGCAAAUCCAACUUUAGGUGGUCAUUAUGAUCAGAAACUCACCCUCUGGAGAGUUUUAUUGACCUCGCAUAUAACAUGGGGAAUCUGGUUAGCACCCAUAUUUAAGA
This 380-nucleotide long non-coding RNA is filed under the name Nicotiana benthamiana. RNAcentral describes it as "long non-coding RNA (NBEN_LNC013426)". The record is from RNAcentral. Lineage: Eukaryota; Viridiplantae; Streptophyta; Magnoliopsida; Solanales; Solanaceae.